RNAcentral lists this ribosomal RNA (162 nucleotides) under Ficus chapaensis. RNAcentral's name for it is "5.8S ribosomal RNA". It matches the Rfam family "5.8S ribosomal RNA". From Rfam's summary of the family: 5.8S ribosomal RNA (5.8S rRNA) is a component of the large subunit of the eukaryotic ribosome. It is transcribed by RNA polymerase I as part of the 45S precursor that also contains 18S and 28S rRNA. RNAcentral also lists the same sequence under 7 other names. The record is from RNAcentral. Lineage: Eukaryota; Viridiplantae; Streptophyta; Magnoliopsida; Rosales; Moraceae.
AACGACUCUCGGCAACGGAUAUCUCGGCUCUCGCAUCGAUGAAGAACGUAGCGAAAUGCGAUACUUGGUGUGAAUUGCAGAAUCCCGUGAACCAUCGAGUCUUUGAACGCAAGUUGCGCCCGAAGCCAUCCGGUCGAGGGCACGUCUGCCUGGGCGUCACAC